GGGGCGGGUUAUGUCAUUGCGGCUCAAUCUGUUCGUUUCCUUUAUCGUUGCGGCUUUUUUCCUCGCAUCUCCGGUGGCCGUGCAUUCCGCACGCGCGCAGGUGCAGGUCGCGGUGAUCGGCGACAGCAACGUUUACGGCAAGGGCAUCUCUCCCUCCGAGAACUAUCCGAGUCAGCUUCAAGCCGCGCUAAACGCGCGAGGUC
This 203-nucleotide unclassified non-coding RNA is filed under the name Hevea brasiliensis (rubber tree). Lineage: Eukaryota; Viridiplantae; Streptophyta; Magnoliopsida; Malpighiales; Euphorbiaceae. The record is from RNAcentral.